RNAcentral lists this non-coding RNA (65 nucleotides) under Nocardioides sp. The record is from RNAcentral. Lineage: Bacteria; Bacillati; Actinomycetota; Actinomycetes; Propionibacteriales; Nocardioidaceae.
GCAGAGCCCCGAACGGGCUCCCGGACGAGCGGUGCCGUACCCGGAACGCGACAAGACGGCGCUGG